RNAcentral lists this transfer RNA (77 nucleotides) under Clostridium perfringens. RNAcentral describes it as "tRNA-Met". It matches the Rfam family "tRNA". From Rfam's summary of the family: Transfer RNA (tRNA) molecules are approximately 80 nucleotides in length. Lineage: Bacteria; Bacillati; Bacillota; Clostridia; Eubacteriales; Clostridiaceae. The record is from RNAcentral.
GGAUCUUUUAGCUCAGUUGGUUAGAGCAACCGGCUCAUAACCGGUAGGUCCGGGGUUCGAGUCCUGAAGGUCCACCA